Molecule: ribosomal RNA, 497 nt
Filed under: uncultured bacterium
Lineage: Bacteria
Description: partial 16S ribosomal RNA
Rfam family: Bacterial small subunit ribosomal RNA
Source: RNAcentral
GACGAACGCUGGCGGCGUGCCUAAUACAUGCAAGUAGAACGCUGAAGCGAGGAGCUUGCUCUUCUUGGAUGAGUUGCGAACGGGUGAGUAACGCGUAGGUAACCUGCCUUGUAGCGGGGGAUAACUAUUGGAAACGAUAGCUAAUACCGCAUAACAAUGGAUGACCCAUGUCAUUUAUUUGAAAGGGGCAAAUGCUCCACUACAAGAUGGACCUGCGUUGUAUUAGCUAGUAGGUGAGGUAACGGCUCACCUAGGCGACGAUACAUAGCCGACCUGAGAGGGUGGUCGGCCACACUGGGACUGAGACACGGCCCAGACUCCUACGGGAGGCAGCAGUAGGGAAUCUUCGGCAAUGGGGGCAACCCUGACCGAGCAACGCCGCGUGAGUGAAGAAGGUUUUCGGAUCGUAAAGCUCUGUUGUAAGUCAAGAACGAGUGUGAGAGUGGAAAGUUCACACUGUGACGGUAGCUUACCAGAAAGGGACGGCUAACUACGUG